UGAGGAAUAUUGGUCAAUGGUCGGCAGACUGAACCAGCCAAGUCGCGUGAGGGAAGACGGCCCUACGGGUUGUAAACCUCUUUUGUCGGAGAGUAAAGUACGCUACGUGUAGCGUAUUGCAAGUAUCCGAAGAAAAAGCAUCGGCUAACUCCGUGCCAGCAGCCGCGGUAAUACGGAGGAUGCGAGCGUUAUCCGGAUUUAUUGGGUUUAAAGGGUGCGUAGGCGGCACGCCAAGUCAGCGGUGAAAUUUUCGGGCUCAACCCGGACUGUGCCGUUGAAACUGGCGAGCUAGAGUGCACAAGAGGCAGGCGGAAUGCGUGGUGUAGCGGUGAAAUGCAUAGAUAUCACGCAGAACCCCGAUUGCGAAGGCAGCCUGCUAGGGUGCGACAGACGCUGAGGCACGAAAGCGUGGGUAUCGAACAGGAUUAGAUACCCUGGUAGUCCACGCAGUAAACGAUGAAUACUAACUGUUUGCGAUACAAUGUAAGCGGUACAGCGAAAGCGUUAAGUAUUCCACCUGGGGAGUACGCCGGCAACGGUGAAACUCAAAGGAAUUGACGGGGGCCCGCACAAGCGGAGGAACAUGUGGUUUAAUUCGAUGAUACGCGAGGAACCUUACCCGGGCUCAAACGCAGGGGGAAUAUAUAUGAAAGUAUAUAGCUAGCAAUAGUCACCUGCGAGGUGCUGCAUGGUUGUCGUCAGCUCGUGCCGUGAGGUGUCGGCUUAAGUGCCAUAACGAGCGCAACCCCUAUCGACAGUUACUAACGGGUCAAGCCGAGGACUCUGUCGAGACUGCCGGCGCAAGCCGCGAGGAAGGUGGGGAUGACGUCAAAUCAGCACGGCCCUUACGUCCGGGGCGACACACGUGUUACAAUGGCAGGUACAGAAGGCAGCCAGUCAGCAAUGACGCGCGAAUCCCGAAAACCUGUCUCAGUUCGGAUUGGAGUCUGCAACCCGACUCCAUGAAGCUGGAUUCGCUAGUAAUUGCGCAUCAGCCAUGGCGCGGUGAAUACGUUCCC
This 1019-nucleotide ribosomal RNA is filed under the name uncultured bacterium. RNAcentral describes it as "bacterial SSU rRNA". It matches the Rfam family "Bacterial small subunit ribosomal RNA", at positions 355 to 1375 of the family's 1533-position model. The record is from RNAcentral.